RNAcentral lists this transfer RNA (77 nucleotides) under Candidatus Peregrinibacteria bacterium CG_4_10_14_0_2_um_filter_38_24. RNAcentral describes it as "tRNA-Arg". It matches the Rfam family "tRNA". Rfam says of the family: Transfer RNA (tRNA) molecules are approximately 80 nucleotides in length. Their secondary structure includes four short double-helical elements and three loops (D, anti-codon, and T loops). The record is from RNAcentral. Lineage: Bacteria; Candidatus Peregrinibacteriota.
GCGUUCGUAGCUCAGUUGGAUAGAGCGUUGGCUUGCGGAGCCAAAGGUCGCAGGUUCGAUUCCUGCCGGACGCACCA